AUGGCGAGCCGAGCCGUCCGGAUAGCCACCUACAUGUCCCCGGAGGUGGGCGGCCUCCCGCCGGGCGUCGAGAACCUCUCCGCCGCCGGGCCCGACGCGUGGCUCAUCGAUGCCGCGGCCAUCGACGAGGCGCUGACGCGGCCCGCGCAGGAGGCGCUCGUCAGGGAGCUGUCCCCUGACGCCGUCUUCACCGACGUCCACUUCUUCUGGAACUCCAUACUCGCCGGCGAGCUCGGCGUGCCGUGCAUUACGUUCAGUGUCAUUGGACCCUUCUCGAACCUUGUGAUGCACCACCUCGGCGGCACAGUUACAGUCGACGGCGACUCGGAUUGCCAGGAGGUGAUUGUACCAGGUUUUCAGGCCCUGAGAUACGUAUCCCGAGGGCUGAGCUGCCGGAGAUCUUGA
RNAcentral lists this ribosomal RNA (405 nucleotides) under Triticum aestivum (bread wheat). RNAcentral's name for it is "partial small subunit ribosomal RNA". The record is from RNAcentral. Lineage: Eukaryota; Viridiplantae; Streptophyta; Magnoliopsida; Poales; Poaceae.